Cyanistes caeruleus (blue tit) is the source of this 887-nucleotide non-coding RNA. NCBI's taxonomy places the organism in Eukaryota, Metazoa, Chordata, Aves, Passeriformes, Paridae. The record is from RefSeq and is a predicted model, not a curated record.
CUACAGCCAAAAUAAAAGCAUCAUUUUGUGCUGAAAUUACCAAGUCUUCUCUUCCACUGUUGUCUUUCUUUCCCUCAGAAAAGAAAAUAAAAUUUCUGACAUUUUAGGAUUCUGUGCUUAGAAUUUUAUGGGAGAGUUAACAAGGAAAAAAAAAAAUUGACUUCUCUAAAUACCAUUCCCAACAGAUAAGAGAGUCAGAGUUUGCCCCUUCCCACACAGCUCAGAAAAAGGAAUUUCAGAAGCUCAGUUACCACCCCCAAGUUACAGUCCCACUGCUGAACUACCAAAGCUGUAGAACAGAAGAAACAGCAUUAUUUAAGACCUUACUUACCCCAGCAGGGCUGAGACUUCUCCGGUGCCUUUCAGGAGACACCAGCAGAAGCAGCACAUUUCACACAGCCAAGACAGACACACAGCAAAGAGAAAGGCUGUGGUGACUAGGCCGCUCCCACAGCCAGCACCUCCAACCACACGGGAAACAAUACAAAGUCAGUGAGGUUUAAGCAUAGGUCAAGAAGAAUUUUGAAUGUUAGGGCUAUGUCCCUCUGUACAAAGCAAGAUAGCCCCAAAGGACAAGACAAUGGGGCCCAGGCUGUUAUCAGCACUGACCGCUUGCAGAGGAAGGAACCCCAGCCCAAAUAAAAUGGUGAUCAGAAGAAAUCAAACUUCUAUGGCACGUGCUCUAAAAAGGUGAAACCAGGGAGUGGUCAUGCAAAAUACUUCUUGGAAAAGUUUGAAUAUGCAUUGAACCCCCACAGCAGGAUGGGAUAAAAGGUGCGUUCCAAAGAUACCAGGUGUGCUCUUGGCAACGCACCAAGGCACCCGGCCAUUACUCUUUGCUUUAUUUUCUGUCUCUUGUUGUCUUUAUUAAACCUUUUAAAAUUUAA